AUUGAACGCUGGCGGCAGGCCUAACACAUGCAAGUCGAGCGGAUGAAGGGAGCUUGCUCCUGGAUUCAGCGGCGGACGGGUGAGUAAUGCCUAGGAAUCUGCCUGGUAGUGGGGGAUAACGUCCGAAAACGGGCGCUAAUACCGCAUACGUCCUGAGAGAGACAGUGGGUGAUCUUCGGACCUCACACUAUCAGAGGAGCCUAGGUCGGAUUAGCUAGUUGGUGGGGUAAAGGCCUACCAAGGCGACGAUCCGUAACUGGUCUGAGAGGAUGAUCAGUCACACUGGAACUGAGACACGGUCCAGACUCCUACGGGAGGCAGCAGUGGGGACUAUUGGACAAUGGGCGAAAGGGUGAUAUAGCCAUGCCGCGUGUGUGAAGAAGGUCUUCGGAUUGUAAAGCACUUUAAGUUGGGAGGAAGGGCAGUAAGUUUAUCCCUUGCUGUUUUGACGUUACCAACAGAAUAAGCACCGGCUAACUUCGUG
Molecule: ribosomal RNA, 484 nt
Filed under: uncultured bacterium
Lineage: Bacteria
Description: partial 16S ribosomal RNA
Rfam family: Bacterial small subunit ribosomal RNA
Source: RNAcentral